This 2603-nucleotide long non-coding RNA is filed under the name Vigna radiata. Its description in RNAcentral is "long non-coding RNA (VRAD_LNC007684)". The record is from RNAcentral. Lineage: Eukaryota; Viridiplantae; Streptophyta; Magnoliopsida; Fabales; Fabaceae.
AUUGAAAGCAUGGACACAAUGUGAUGAAGAAAGUGAAUGAUGAAGAGGAAUGUAAAAAUCAAUAUUGUACUAAGGGGUUUGGUUUGAGUUAGAUAGGAGUAUGGGAAAUGACUAUUCCAAAACUCAAGGUUUCAAAAACCAUGAAAGUGGUUGAACCAAUCAAGGACUCCUCAUCAAGAUAUUUUAAGGUUUUUCUAUGGUGUUUCAUCAUACAGGACCUACUUGGUUUGUUUUUUUGCUUCAUUUUAGGUACUUAAAGUUUCAACAAAUUGCUGUUUUGGUUAGAAGAUGAGAAGGUAUUUUUUUAUAUUUUGGUGAACUUUGUUUAAUGUUGUUCUCCCGAAGAGUUGGUGGUAAUUUGAUAUCAGUUGGUUUUGGUGAGAAUCAUGCAUCUGCAAUAUUCUUUGAUAUGAUUGAUAGCUGGUUGUGCACACCAUGCAUUUGAUUGUUUGCACAGAAAUGUCAAAAUGUAUACACAGUCUUAAUGUCAGCUAGGUUACAAGGUCAGGGGUGAGCUAUAGUUGUAUGAAUCCAACAGAACAAAAACAGUGUAUUAACAUCAAAUCUCUGGCUCCAUGUGUAGGGCUUCUACUUCUGGCUAUAUAGUUAUAGAUUCCAUACAAUCAUUCAUCCAGAUCAUAGACCUUGUCAGUGUUUGUUCCAAUGUUACCAUGAUUUGUUGGUAACUCCAGGAGUAGAUGAGGAAAAUUAAAAGAUGAUGGAUGAGCUUUUUUUUAGCAAUAAUGAGGACCACUUGUGUGUGCUGCUGAUCACAAAAUAGCUAAAUACUAUGUAAUUGAUGCAUUAUGGCUAUGUUGUUGUUAAUCAUGAAACUGCCAAAAUUAUGCAGAACAUAGUUAUCUCUGCCAGCUAGUGGAUGGGCCAGUUGAUAUACAUGUAUAACUUAUGCUUUUCGUAGCAUCUAAUGUUGAUUACUAUUUUUCCAAAAGCUACUUUCCUUGACCCUCCAUGUCUUGUAGCAUUGGUUGAUCUAAUAAUAAUGUUACUUCAUACAUAUCCCUAUACUUUUCCUGUUAACAGAUUUCAAUUAAUAUUAUAAGAGUAGUUGACAUCUGUGUGGUUCUUAUCUAUAUCUGCUGUAGGCUUUUUAGUUUGAUUUGAGGGGUAUCAAUGUCAAGAAUAAUUUCAUGGUAAUUUUUUUACCCAUCUACAUUUGGUUGUGCGUUUCAUUGUUCCACUCUUAAUUUUUAAAAAAAUUGGUGAAUGGAUUUUCUCUUUUUGUAAAACUAAAGAAAAAAGAAUAAGAAAAAGCUGAAAGAAAACACCUUAAAGCUCAACAACGUAGAGAACAUGGUAUCUAAGGUUGAUUCCACGUUUGUUACAUCGCUUUCGGUCACAGAAACAAUAAUAAAUGUCGAUUUUAAAGUUUGAAAUUUAAUCUCUCUCAACUACUGGUCUUUCCAAGGAAAUUCAACCCAUCUAGAACUUUUCUUCAAUGUCAGUUUAAUGUUGAAUAAUUGAAUCAACCAACCCACACAACAUAGCAUUAUCUGAUAGAGAAAAGUGAACCAAUACCAUUUCUGCAUAGUCAAAUUAAACAUUUCAUGUUUCAUUUCUUUAUAAUUUCAAGGGGGGGCAUAAUGUUAGAAGAAAAAUAAAGAACCCCACCAUAAGAUGAUGUCCAACUAUAGUGACAAAUAAGAACAUAGAUAGCCAAUUUUGUGGAUUAGUUUCGGUUAAUAGUGUGUAAGGUGGGGCACUCAACCUUUGUAAUCUUAUAAAAAAACCUCAGCAACACUGAACAGUGUCAGUGUCCGAAAAGGUAACCAUAAAACGUAACAUAAUAGGAGCUGCAGAGUAAUUCUACUCCAUCUUUAUGUCAUACAACUUCUGCUUUGGCAUUUUGCAGUAGCAUAAAUUAGAUUUCCCAUCAACCAAACAAAACCAGUCAAAGGGUAAUGAAUAGGCCUAAACCAUUACAAAGUGAUAACAGGAUAAUCAUCAUCUCCCCUUAGAACAUGAUGAGUCAUGAUGCAUUUUGUAAAUUGAGAAUUAUCUUUCUUAGUUGAUAUGAGAAUAGUUUAACUUAACUAAGUACUACUAGUGUUUAAUUUGAGAUACUGGAAGAGAAAAUUACGACCUGAAGGGAAAAGAAAAGAUGAUGGCAAUUUCAUGAUGGCAAACAUGGUAAAGGGUAAAGGCAGUGCAAAGAGACAAGCAAAACAGAUGCACUAGCACUAUGUCACACAAACACACCACACUGGUUUUGUACAAAUAUGUAUAAAGUAAUAACUUAAAAGCAGUGAAAGGCUUUUCAUUUUCUAACACCCUUUAUUUGUUUUUUCUCUCUGCUCAUCUCAAAAUGUCAUUUACUGUAUUGGGAUUAUGCCACAGGCUUCUGGGAUUCCUCCACUGGAGCAGCAGACCAUGAAAUGGAAAAGCAUUAUAUGCAGAAUCUCUAGAUCCUAGUGAUCCUAAUUCCUGAGACAAAUUUAGUUUUUUUUUUGUUCUGUACUUCAAUUUUAUUUUUUUCCCUGGAUGUUUCUGAUUCCUGUGAUACAUAAUAUAUAUACUUUUCCUAAAGCAGUGAUGCAAGCUGUUCUCUGGUGAAUAAGUUAAUGAAUCUUAUGCUAUUUUCCUGA